Molecule: ribosomal RNA, 253 nt
Filed under: uncultured microorganism
Description: partial 16S ribosomal RNA
Rfam family: Bacterial small subunit ribosomal RNA
Source: RNAcentral
GACAGAGGUGGCAAGCGUUGCUCGGAUUCACUGGGCUUAAAGGGCGCGUAGGCGGCUUUGUAAGUCCGAGGUGGAAUUCCACAGCUUAACUGUGGAACUGCCUUGGAAACUGCAAGGCUUGAGUCAGGUAGAGGGAGGCGGAAUUCUCGGUGUAGCGGUGAAAUGCGUAGAUAUCGGGAGGAACGCCGAAGGCGAAAGCGGGUUCCUGGGCCUAUACUGACGCUGAGACGCGAAAGCUAGGGGAGCAAACAGG